RNAcentral lists this ribosomal RNA (253 nucleotides) under uncultured bacterium. RNAcentral describes it as "partial 16S ribosomal RNA". It matches the Rfam family "Bacterial small subunit ribosomal RNA", at positions 524 to 776 of the family's 1533-position model. The record is from RNAcentral.
UACAGAGGUCCCAAGCGUUGUUCGGAUUCAUUGGGCGUAAAGGGUGCGUAGGUGGCCUGGUAAGUCGGGUGUGAAAUCCCGGGGCUCAACCCCGGAACUGCACUCGAUACUGCCGUGCUCGAGUACUGGAGAGGAGACUGGAAUUUACGGUGUAGCAGUGAAAUGCGUAGAUAUCGUAAGGAACACCAAUAGCGAAGGCAGCUCGCUGGGACGGUACUGACGCUGAGGCGCGAAAGCGUGGGGAGCAAACAGG